This 45-nucleotide non-coding RNA is filed under the name Schistosoma mattheei. Lineage: Eukaryota; Metazoa; Platyhelminthes; Trematoda; Strigeidida; Schistosomatidae. The record is from RNAcentral.
AUCUGAAUGAUAAGUCCCGAAUGGGACGAAACGCGCGUUCUGGAU